AAGGGCGGGAACUCCGGGAGGAUGGGGAGGAAUGCGUGUGAAGCUGGAGUUGGGGUAGGUCAUCUUGGCCCCGGUAGCUGAGGGCAGGACUGCCAGCCAGACAUCUGAGCGAAAGGUGGAGGAAGGUCGCAGCCUGCAGCGCAGCCGGAUGUGGCGGUCACUACCUUAAGUUGGGCGGCCUUGACCUGCUUUGGCUCCGUACCUUCCUGGGGCAGUUUGAACCUCCUCCAGCCACCCUUGUCCCGAGGGAUGGGAUGUGAACUGCCCUUUCCUUGCACUAGAGGGGUAAAGACUGGAGUGUAUGCAUCUCACCGGCUGGUGUCAGGACCCUACAGAUCACUUCUUUUAGGGCAGGAGGGAAAGGGGUUCAGUCCUUCACUUUUCCUUGUGCUGCAUGACUUGAAGUGAGUUCUUAGGAACUCAGAAGGGCUGAGAAGACAAAGGGAAACAUCGGACUGGGAGAUCUGGGGCAGCGGGAAUCAGGGGGGAAGACCUGGGGUAUUAGACUUCCUCUGGCUCCCACACCCCAGUCCUUCCUUUGCCCACAUCUGUAGGGUUCUGUGUGGGUAGAAUUUCCUGAUGUCAGUAGGAAUUUAGAGAGGCUCCUUCUUUCUUUUUAAGGGUUCUUUAUCAAACUGAUUCUCACCCUCCUCCAGUAUGCUGUAAUUUGAGCUCUAAUAUAGACAGUGUGGAGGCUGCUUUUGGUAACCCAGAAGAAGACAGAGCCUACCCACCAUCAUCUAGUAAAGUCUGGGUCAUUACUUGUUUUACUCUAAAGGUCAGUUAAGUUUCCAAACUAGUUUCCACCAACAUCACCACCGUUAUUACAGGACAACAAACCAAGCAGGCCCAUGAUUAAAGAGAUUUGUGUUUUUAGUAACGAUGGACUCUUUCAGUGGGGAGAAGAGAGAAGGCCCUCCCUUCCUUGCGGACAUGUACUGAGCCUUGCCUUGGUGUGAGGCCCAGAAAGUGCCUCUCCCUGAGUCACCUGUCUCUGGUCUUGCCCAGACGCCUGGGGAGGAGAUAGAAGAUGGAAUGCUGUGGCAUACUUCAUGGACUACAAUAUCUUGUAAACAUAACUUUCAUAUGCACUGGG
This is a long non-coding RNA of Mustela erminea (ermine), 1096 nucleotides long. RefSeq lists it as uncharacterized. The record is from RefSeq and is a predicted model, not a curated record. The transcript is spliced from 2 exons. NCBI's taxonomy places the organism in Eukaryota, Metazoa, Chordata, Mammalia, Carnivora, Mustelidae.